Molecule: ribosomal RNA, 1452 nt
Filed under: uncultured Microgenomates group bacterium
Lineage: Bacteria
Description: bacterial SSU rRNA
Rfam family: Bacterial small subunit ribosomal RNA
Source: RNAcentral
UAGAGUUUGAUCCUGGCUCAGGGUGAACGUUCGUAGCGUGGAUAAGGCAUGCAAAUCGUACGGUUCUAAGAUAGAUUUAUCUAUCUUAGAAUACGUGGUAAACGGGGCAGUAAUGCAUACCUAAUCUACCCCAAGGAUAGACAUAACCUCCUAAAGGAGACUAAUGUCUAAUAAUAAUAUCUCUACACAAGUAGAGAUAUUUAAAGGAUAAGAGUAUUCUUAUCCGCCUUGGGAGGAGGGUAUGUUCGAUCAGCUAGUUGGUGAGGUAAUGGCUCACCAAGGCUAUGACCGAUAGGGGGUCUGAGAGGAUGUUCCCCGCCAAGGGCACUGAGACACGGGCCCUACUCCUACGGGAGGCAGCAGCCGAGAAUAUUGGGCAAUGGGCGAAAGCCUGACCCAGCGACGCUACGUGCCAGAAGAAGCUCUUCGGAGUGUAAAUGGCUUUUCUGCAGGAUGAAGCCUUAUGUUUUUUAACAUAAGGUUGACAGUACUGCAGGAAUAAGGGACGACUAACUUCGUGCCAGCAGUCGCGGUAAGACGAAGGUCCCAAACGUUACCCGGAUUUACUGGGCGUAAAGGAUGAGAAGGCGGAGAUAAAAGUUCUACUUUAAAUCUUAACCGCCCAACGGUUAAGCAGGGUAGAAUACUUUAUCUCUAGAAGAUACCAGAAGCUAACGGAACGUACGGUGUAGGGGUGAAAUCCGUUGAUAUCGUACGGAACGCCGAAGGCGAAGGCAGUUAGCUAUGGUAUUCUUGACGCUGAUCUCAUGAAAGCUAGGGGCGCAAACCGGAUUAGAUACCCGGGUAGUCCUAGCUGUAAACUAUGGAUGCUAACUCUGGCGAGAUUCGACCCUCGCUGGGGUAAAGCUAACGCGUUAAGCAUCCCGCCUGGGGAGUACGUUCGCAAGAACGAAACUCAAAGGAAUAGGCGGAAGGCUGCACAAGCGGUGGACCAUGUGGUUUAAUUCGACAGUAACCGAAAAAUCUUACCUGGGCUUGACAUAAUAGUCUUAAUACCUUUUCCGAAAGGAAAAGGGAUCUAGGGUUUACCUAGAGGGCUAUUACAGGUGCUGCAUGGCCGUCGUCAGCUCGUGAUGUGAAUCGUAACCUUAAGUGGCACAACGAGCGCAACCCCUAUCCUAUGUUAUAUGUGUCAUAGGAGACUGCCAACCAAAAGUUGGAGGAAGGUGGGGAUGACGUCAGGUCCGCAUGGCCCUUAUGCCCAGGGCAACACACAUGGUACAAUGCUGAAGACAACGGGAAGCGAAACCGCAAGGUGGAGCAAAUCCCUUAAACUUCAGCUCAGUUCGGAUUGAGGACUGAAACUCAUCCUCAUGAAGCCGGAAUCGCUAGUAAUCGCCAAUCAGCUAUGUGGCGGUGAAUACGUUCUCAGCCUUUGCACUCACUGCCCGUCAGGUCAGGAGAGUUGUUUCCACCUGAAAGCCUAAUUUU